UAGCCUUGACAUUGAUUGAACACACUAGAGAUAGAGUGGUGCCCUUCGGGGAACAUGAAAACAGGUGCUGCACGGCUGUCGUCAGCUCGUGUCGUGAGAUGUUGGGUUAAGUCCCGCAACGAGCGCAACCCUCGUCCUUAGUUGCUAGCAGUUUGGCUGAGCACUCUAAGGAGACUGCCUUCGUAAGGAGGAGGAAGGUGAGGACGACGUCAAGUCAUCAUGGCCCUUAUGGCUAGGGCUACACACGUGCUACAAUGGGGCGUACAGAGUGUUGCGAUACCGCGAGGUGGAGCUAAUCACUUAAAGCGUCUCUCAGUUCGGAUUGGAGUCUGCAACUCGACUCCAUGAAGCUGGAAUCACUAGUAAUCGUAGAUCAGCAAUGCUACGGUGAAUACGUUCCCGGGUCU
Molecule: ribosomal RNA, 407 nt
Filed under: uncultured bacterium
Lineage: Bacteria
Description: bacterial SSU rRNA
Rfam family: Bacterial small subunit ribosomal RNA
Source: RNAcentral